AUGUAUGUAUAUAUAGCCUACCAUCCGAGAAAGAAGAAGAUGUGUAGUGAUAGUUACCCAAUGACCUUCCAAAUAACUGCAGAACAAAGACAGGUUGGGGAAACUGAACUAAACGCAAGUUUACGUUCCCACCAAAUCAUUUGGCUGAUUGUGGAGAGUAUGCUCCAUAAAGCGCCGCACUGUGUUAUAUCUUUUGCUGCUAACUUGAAUUUUGUCGACCUUGUUGGAAGCGAGCAUGCUGCACAAACACAUGCUGUUGGUGCUAGGUUGAAAGAAGGCGCCAUAUUAAUCGCAGCUUGUUGA
This 303-nucleotide ribosomal RNA is filed under the name Triticum aestivum (bread wheat). RNAcentral's name for it is "partial small subunit ribosomal RNA". Lineage: Eukaryota; Viridiplantae; Streptophyta; Magnoliopsida; Poales; Poaceae. The record is from RNAcentral.